GGCAUCGUUUAAUCCAAUUUUAGGCAGGGCUGCGGGGCUAGGUCUAGGAAAGCGGCAGCCAGGCGGCCGUGGGCUCCCGCGCACGGGACGGCAGCUCACGCCGCCAUCGGGGCCAACAUCGAAGAACGCUAUCUGGAUUGGGUACGACAGCUGACGGUGAUAGAUAGCUGGGUCCAGGAUAGGCCUCCUGAGGAGUUAUGUGCUGGCCCGGGACAAGGAGCCAGGUGCCUCCUCCUCGGACCCUCCACCUGUCGCUAAAGUGCUUGAGCGCUGAGGUCGACUCUCCCUGUACUGCACGUACAGGGACGCCCCACCAGCAGUGGUCCCCUCUUCCUGUCUCUCCUCCUCUCAGCAACCACUUCAACAUUGACUUCCCCUCCACAAGGACCGGGACCUUGCCGUGGUGUGGAGGUUUCAUACAAACACCGGUCCACCCACCCUGCAACAACUCUUCUACAGGACAGUGACACUACGUUUCUUUAAAAAAAAAAAAAAAAAAAAACAUUCUAUGUCUGCUGUGAUGUGAUGUAUGUGGUUUAAAAAAAAAAAAAACAUCCACACCACUGUGUUCUGCAUUCUGCAUCUCUACA
Molecule: long non-coding RNA, 590 nt
Organism: Alosa sapidissima (American shad)
Lineage: Eukaryota; Metazoa; Chordata; Actinopteri; Clupeiformes; Clupeidae
Exons: 4
Source: RefSeq, a predicted model, not a curated record